AUGAGGGACACAGGAAUCGUGCUCAGUGAUGACGUCUGCCAGCUGAUGCUUAUCCGCUACGGUAGCCCUGACCUCCAGAUGGCCUUCGUCAGCUUUGUCCGCUUGAUGCUGCGUGUGGAGGACCUGCAGGUGGCUGACGAUGACUCUGUACUCCUGAGAAGGCUGGACGCUCGUUGGCCCUCACUGAGGACUCUGCAUAUGGCCCAAGGGUGGCCUUUGGUUGAGACCAGCCCAUGCUCAACCCACCUACAGUUCUUCAGGACUGUGUCUCCAGCCAUCACCUUCUCGUCUGGUUUCAUUUGUUCCAUGCCUCUCCAAGACGGGCUCUGGAGAUAGGCUUCCAGUUCAUACCCGACUCAUGCCAGGUACCCACCAGCAUUGGCAGCACCGACCUCUCGAUAUAGAGGAAAACGCUGGGCUGUUUGUACAUUUCUUCAUCCUUCCUCCUGUGCCGCUCUCUCAGAUCUGCACUUUCUCCAGAGCUCCCCACGUAAAGGGAUCUGAAGAUACUGAAUCUGACCUGUUGGCAGAGUGUGUACCUUGCUGAGAAGAGGAUGAAGCGAGCAUUUGGCUUCCUGGUGCUGGCAUACACAUUUUAAUUUUAGGGUCUUCAUCUGCUUUGGUAGAUAAAUCACAAACAUUUCCAUGAAUAAGCACGUCUGUUAUGCAAAUUGUUUUCCGUCUGCUGGUCUGUUGAGAAUAAUGUUCCAUAAUUAAAACAGCUAUUUACUUAUGGGCA
Molecule: long non-coding RNA, 739 nt
Filed under: Monodon monoceros (narwhal)
Lineage: Eukaryota; Metazoa; Chordata; Mammalia; Artiodactyla; Monodontidae
Description: lncRNA (ENSMMNG00015017053.1)
Source: RNAcentral